CGAACGGCAGCGCGGGGCAACCUGGCGGCGAGUGGCGAACGGGUGAGUAAUAUAUCGGAACGUACCCAGAAGUGGGGGAUAACGUAGCGAAAGUUACGCUAAUACCGCAUACGAUCUACGGAUGAAAGUGGGGGACCUUCGGGCCUCAUGCUUUUGGAGCGGCCGAUAUCUGAUUAGCUAGUUGGUGAGGUAAAGGCUCACCAAGGCGACGAUCAGUAGCUGGUCUGAGAGGACGACCAGCCACACUGGGACUGAGACACGGCCCAGACUCCUACGGGAGGCAGCAGUGGGGAAUUUUGGACAAUGGGCGCAAGCCUGAUCCAGCAAUGCCGCGUGAGUGAAGAAGGCCUUCGGGUUGUAAAGCUCUUUUGUCAGGGAAGAAACGGUCUUGGUUAAUACCUGAGGCUAAUGACGGUACCUGAAGAAUAAGCACCGGCUAACUACGUGCCAGCAGCCGCGGUAAUACGUAGGGUGCAAGCGUUAAUCGGAAUUACUGGGCGUAAAGCGUGCGCAGGCGGUUUUGUAAGUCUGACGUGAAAGCCCCGGGCUUAACCUGGGAAUUGCGUUGGAGAC
RNAcentral lists this ribosomal RNA (573 nucleotides) under uncultured Massilia sp. RNAcentral describes it as "bacterial SSU rRNA". It matches the Rfam family "Bacterial small subunit ribosomal RNA", at positions 63 to 633 of the family's 1533-position model. The record is from RNAcentral. Lineage: Bacteria; Pseudomonadati; Pseudomonadota; Betaproteobacteria; Burkholderiales; Oxalobacteraceae.